GACGAACGCUGGCGGCGUGCUUAACACAUGCAAGUCGAACGGAAAGGCCCUGCUUUUGUGGGGUGCUCGAGUGGCGAACGGGUGAGUAACACGUGAGUAACCUGCCCUUGACUUUGGGAUAACUUCAGGAAACUGGGGCUAAUAUCGGAUAGGAGCUCCUGCUGCAUGGUGGGGGUUGGAAAGUUUCGGCGGUUGGGGAUGGACUCGCGGCUUAUCAGCUUGUUGGUGGGGUAGUGGCUUACCAAGGCUUUGACGGGUAGCCGGCCUGAGAGGGUGGCCGGCCACAAUGGGACUGAGGGACGGCGCAGACUGCUACGGGAGGCAGCAGUGGGGAGUAUUGCACAAUGGGCGGAAGCCUGAUGCAGCAACGCCGCGUGCGUAAUGACGGCCUUCGGGUUGUAAACCGCUUUCGCCUGUGACGAAGCGUGAGUGACGGUAAUGGGUAAAGAAGCACCGGCUAACUACGUG
This 468-nucleotide ribosomal RNA is filed under the name uncultured bacterium. Its description in RNAcentral is "partial 16S ribosomal RNA". It matches the Rfam family "Bacterial small subunit ribosomal RNA", at positions 28 to 507 of the family's 1533-position model. The record is from RNAcentral.